CCUACGGGAGGCAGCAGUAGGGAAUUUUCGUCAAUGGGCGCAAGCCUGAACGAGCGAUGCCGCGUGAGUGAAGAAGGCCUUCGGGUCGUAAAGCUCUGUUGCGGGGGAAAAAAGGCAGCAUCAGGAAAUGGGUGCUGACUGAUGGUGCCCAGCCAGAAAGUCACGGCUAACUACGUGCCAGCAGCCGCGGUAAUCCGUAGGUGGCGAGCGUUAUCCGGAAUGGUUGGGCGGAAAGGGUGCGCAGGCGGUCCUGCAAGUCUGGAGUGAAACGCAUGAGCUCAACUCAUGCAUGGCUUUGGAAACUGGAGGACUGGCGAGCCGGAGAGGGCGGUGGAACUCCAGGUGUAGCGGUAAAAUGCGUAGAUAUAUGGAAGAACACCAGUGGCGAAGGCGGCCGCCUGGCCUGUUGCUGACGCUGAGGCACGAAAGCGUGGGGAGCAAAUAGGAUUAGAUACCCGAGUAGUC
This 465-nucleotide ribosomal RNA is filed under the name uncultured bacterium. RNAcentral's name for it is "partial 16S ribosomal RNA". It matches the Rfam family "Bacterial small subunit ribosomal RNA", at positions 338 to 795 of the family's 1533-position model. The record is from RNAcentral.